RNAcentral lists this ribosomal RNA (406 nucleotides) under uncultured bacterium. RNAcentral's name for it is "partial 16S ribosomal RNA". It matches the Rfam family "Bacterial small subunit ribosomal RNA", at positions 30 to 526 of the family's 1533-position model. The record is from RNAcentral.
AUUGAAAGCUGGCGGCAGGCCUAACACAUGCAAGUCGACCGAGUGGCGGACGGGUGAGUAAUGUCUGGGAAACUGACCGAUGGAGGGGGAUAACUACUGGAAACGGUAGCUAAUACCGCAUACCAUCGGAUGUGCCCAGAUGGGAUUAGCUAGUCGGUGGGUUAACGGCUCACCUAGGCGAAGAUCCCUAGCUGUGCUGUGAGGAUGACCAGCCACACUGGAACUGAGACACGGUCCAGACUCCUACGUGAGGCAGCAGUGGGGAAUAUUGCACAAGGGUCGCAAGCCUGAUGCAGCCAUGCCGCGUGUAUGAAGAAGGCCUUCGGGUUGUAAAGUACUUUCAGCGAGGAGGCGUUAUUCGCAGAAGAAGCACCGGCUAACUCCGUGCCAGCAGCCGCGGUAAUUC